This 522-nucleotide small RNA is filed under the name uncultured Cladosporium. Its description in RNAcentral is "eukaryotic LSU rRNA". The stretch from base 158 to 311 matches the Rfam family "5.8S ribosomal RNA". The record is from RNAcentral. Lineage: Eukaryota; Fungi; Ascomycota; Dothideomycetes; Cladosporiales; Cladosporiaceae.
GGGCCUCGGUGACCGGUCUACACCGGGAUGUUCAUAACCCUUUGUUGUCCGACUCUGUUGCCUCCGGGGCGACCCUGCCUUCGGGCGGGGGCUCCGGGUGGACACUUCAAACUCUUGCGUAACUUUGCAGUCUGAGUAAACUUAAUUAAUAAAUUAAAACUUUUAACAACGGAUCUCUUGGUUCUGGCAUCGAUGAAGAACGCAGCGAAAUGCGAUAAGUAAUGUGAAUUGCAGAAUUCAGUGAAUCAUCGAAUCUUUGAACGCACAUUGCGCCCCCUGGUAUUCCGGGGGGCAUGCCUGUUCGAGCGUCAUUUCACCACUCAAGCCUCGCUUGGUAUUGGGCAACGCGGUCCGCCGCGUGCCUCAAAUCGACCGGCUGGGUCUUCUGUCCCCUAAGCGUUGUGGAAACUAUUCGCUAAAGGGUGUUCGGGAGGCUACGCCGUAAAACAACCCCAUUUCUAAGGUUGACCUCGGAUCAGGUAGGGAUACCCGCUGAACUUAAGCAUAUCAAUAAGCGGAGGA